RNAcentral lists this ribosomal RNA (320 nucleotides) under uncultured Bacteroidales bacterium. RNAcentral describes it as "bacterial SSU rRNA". It matches the Rfam family "Bacterial small subunit ribosomal RNA", at positions 28 to 339 of the family's 1533-position model. The record is from RNAcentral. Lineage: Bacteria; Pseudomonadati; Bacteroidota; Bacteroidia; Bacteroidales.
GAUGAACGCUAGCUACAGGCUUAACACAUGCAAGUCGAGGGGCAGCAUUAGAUUAGCUUGCUAAUCUAGAUGGCGACCGGCGCACGGGUGAGUAACGCGUAUCCAACCUGCCCCCUACCCGGGGAUAGCCUUGCGAAAGUAAGAUUAAUACCCGGUGCAGUUAUGAUUCCGCAUGGUAAUAUAACGAAAGAUUCAUCGGUAGGGGAUGGGGAUGCGUCCGAUUAGCUUGUUGGCGGGGUAACGGCCCACCAAGGCGACGAUCAGUAGGGGUUCUGAGAGGAAGGUCCCCCACAUUGGUACUGAGACACGGACCAAACUCC